Molecule: ribosomal RNA, 462 nt
Filed under: uncultured bacterium
Lineage: Bacteria
Description: bacterial SSU rRNA
Rfam family: Bacterial small subunit ribosomal RNA
Source: RNAcentral
GCCAGACUCCUACGGGAGGCAGCAGUGGGGAAUAUUGCACAAUGGGGGAAACCCUGAUGCAGCGACGCCGCGUGAGUGAAGAAGUAUUUCGGUAUGUAAAGCUCUAUCAGCAGGGAAGAAAUAAAGUCCUUCGGACUUUGGACGGUACCCGACUAAGAAGCCCCGGCUAACUACGUGCCAGCAGCCGCGGUAAUACGUAGGGGGCAAGCGUUAUCCGGAUUUACUGGGUGUAAAGGGAGCGUAGACGGCAAUGCAAGUCUGGAGUGAAAGGCGGGGGCCCAACCCCCGGACCGCUCUGGAAACUGUAUAGCUGGAGUGCAGGAGAGGUAAGUGGAAUUCCUAGUGUAGCGGUGAAAUGCGUAGAUAUUAGGAGGAACACCAGUGGCGAAGGCGGCUUACUGGACUGUAACUGACGUUGAGGCUCGAAAGCGUGGGGAGCAAACAGGAUUAGAUACCCUUGUA